GACAGAGGGUGCGAACGUUGCUCGGAAUUACUGGGCGUAAAGCGCGUGUAGGCGGGUCAUCAAGUCAGGUGUGAAAUCCCUGGGCUCAACCCAGGAACUGCAUCUGAAACUGGUGGUCUUGAGUGUCGGAGAGGGAAGCGGAAUUCUCGGUGUAGAGGUGAAAUUCGUAGAUAUCGGGAGGAACACCGGUGGCGAAGGCGGCUUCCUGGACGACUACUGACGCUGAGACGCGAAAGCGUGGGGAGCAAAC
This 250-nucleotide ribosomal RNA is filed under the name uncultured bacterium. RNAcentral describes it as "partial 16S ribosomal RNA". It matches the Rfam family "Bacterial small subunit ribosomal RNA", at positions 524 to 773 of the family's 1533-position model. The record is from RNAcentral.